GGGGCCGCAACGGCUUCGACAGGUUAGUGAACUCUGAAUUGUGAUACAGGUCGAGAGUGAGUUUCCUCUCGUAAAUCAAAAACUCAAAAAAAAUAGUAACUGCGAACAACAUCGUAAGCUUCAAGCGCGUGGCAGUAGCUGCCUAAAAAUUCUUUUACAGAAUUCGCUUAUCUCAUACUUGACUCCGUUAAAAGUAAGAGAUCAACCUUAAACGGAUAUUCUUAAUAGCUGCCUCUGAUUGACUAUUAAGUAAAAAUUUAUCAGAGUAACCUUUUUACUCAGGUAUAAGAGUAAAUCCUGCCUUAAGGAAUAAUAGGCUAAGCCUGUGAAUGAGCUUUAAGUUAAUAGCUAAUUUGGACAGCAGUUCAACUCUGCUCGGCUCCAUCA
Non-coding RNA from Candidatus Atelocyanobacterium thalassa isolate ALOHA, 387 nucleotides. It matches the Rfam family "transfer-messenger RNA". From Rfam's summary of the family: Bacterial tmRNA, also known as 10Sa RNA or SsrA, is named for its dual tRNA and mRNA-like properties. Its role is to liberate the mRNA from a stalled ribosome. To accomplish this part of the tmRNA is used as a reading frame that ends in a translation stop signal. NCBI's taxonomy places the organism in Bacteria, Bacillati, Cyanobacteriota, Cyanophyceae, Chroococcales, Aphanothecaceae. The record is from Rfam.